Molecule: ribosomal RNA, 440 nt
Filed under: uncultured bacterium
Lineage: Bacteria
Description: partial 16S ribosomal RNA
Rfam family: Bacterial small subunit ribosomal RNA
Source: RNAcentral
CCUACGGGAGGCAGCAGUGGGGGAUAUUGCACAAUGGGGGAAACCCUGAUGCAGCGACGCCGCGUGUAGGAAGACGGUCCUCUGGAUUGUAAACUACUGUCCCCAGGGACGAAGAUGACGGUACCUGGGGAGGAAGCUCCGGCUAACUACGUGCCAGCAGCCGCGGUAAUACGUAGGGAGCGAGCGUUGUCCGGAAUUACUGGGUGAAAAGGGAGCGUAGGCGGGGAUGCAAGUUGGGUGUUAAAUCUACCGGCUAAACUGGUAGUCGCACCCAAAACUGCAGCUCUUGAGUGAAGUAGAGGCAGGCGGAAUUCCUAGUGUAGCGGUGAAAUGCGUAGAUAUUAGGAGGAACACCAGUGGCGAAGGCGGCCUGCUGGGCUUUUACUGACGCUGAGGCUCGAAAGUGUGGGGAGCAAACAGGAUUAGAUACCCUUGUAGUC